RNAcentral lists this ribosomal RNA (429 nucleotides) under Chloroflexota bacterium. Its description in RNAcentral is "Chloroflexi bacterium partial 16S ribosomal RNA". It matches the Rfam family "Bacterial small subunit ribosomal RNA", at positions 355 to 776 of the family's 1533-position model. Lineage: Bacteria; Bacillati; Chloroflexota. The record is from RNAcentral.
UAGGGAAUCUUCGGCAAUGGACGAAAGUCUGACCGAGCAACGCCGCGUGAGUGAAGAAGGUUUUCGGAUCGUAACACUCUGUUGUUAGAGAAGAACAAGGACGUUAGUAACUGAACGUCCCCUGACGGUAUCUAACCAGAAAGCCACGGCUAACUACGUGCCAGCAGCCGCGGUAAUACGUAGGUGGCAAGCGUUGUCCGGAUUUAUUGGGCGUAAAGCGCUCGCAGGCGGUUUCUUAAGUCUGAUGUGAAAGCCCCCGGCUCAACCGGGGAGGGUCAGUGGAAACUGGGAGACUUGAGGGCAGAAGAGGAGAGUGGAAUUCCAUGGGUAGCGGUGAAAUGCGUAGAUAGAUGGAGGAACACCAGUGGCGAAGGCGGCUCUCUGGUCUGUAACUGACGCUGAGGCUCGAAAGCGUGGGGAGCAAACAGG